AGGGGUAUUGCUUAGUGGUAGAGCAUUCGACUGCAGAUCGAGAGGUCCUCGGUUCAAAUCUGGGAGCCCUUU
Non-coding RNA from Trichonephila inaurata madagascariensis, 72 nucleotides. The record is from the annotation of a GenBank genome assembly. NCBI's taxonomy places the organism in Eukaryota, Metazoa, Arthropoda, Arachnida, Araneae, Nephilidae.